UAGGGAAUCUUCCGCAAUGGGCGAAAGCCUGACGGAGCAACGCCGCGUGAGUGAUGAAGGUCUUCGGAUCGUAAAACUCUGUUAUUAGGGAAGAACAAAUGUGUAAGUAACUAUGCACGUCUUGACGGUACCUAAUCAGAAAGCCACGGCUAACUACGUGCCAGCAGCCGCGGUAAUACGUAGGUGGCAAGCGUUAUCCGGAAUUAUUGGGCGUAAAGCGCGCGUAGGCGGUUUUUUAAGUCUGAUGUGAAAGCCCACGGGUCAACCGUGGAGGGUCACUGGAAAGUGGAAAGCUUGAGUGCAGGAGAGGAAAGUGGAAUUCAAUGUGUAGCGGUGAAAUGCGCAGAGAUAUGGAGGAAAAACAGUGGCGAAGGCGACUUUCUGGUAUGUAACUGACGCUGAUGUGCGAAAGCGUGGGGAUCAAACAGG
RNAcentral lists this ribosomal RNA (429 nucleotides) under Actinomycetes bacterium. Its description in RNAcentral is "Actinobacteria bacterium partial 16S ribosomal RNA". It matches the Rfam family "Bacterial small subunit ribosomal RNA", at positions 355 to 776 of the family's 1533-position model. Lineage: Bacteria; Bacillati; Actinomycetota; Actinomycetes. The record is from RNAcentral.